RNAcentral lists this ribosomal RNA (497 nucleotides) under uncultured bacterium. RNAcentral's name for it is "partial 16S ribosomal RNA". It matches the Rfam family "Bacterial small subunit ribosomal RNA", at positions 28 to 507 of the family's 1533-position model. The record is from RNAcentral.
GAUGAACGCUGGCGGCGUGCCUAAUACAUGCAAGUCGAGCGAACGGACGAGAAGCUUGCUUCUCUGAUGUUAGCGGCGGACGGGUGAGUAACACGUGGAUAACCUACCUAUAAGACUGGGAUAACUUCGGGAAACCGGAGCUAAUACCGGAUGAUAUUUUUAACCGCAUGGUUCAAAAGUGAAAGACGGUCUUGCUGUCACUUAUAGAUGUAUCCGCGCUGCAUUAGCUAGUUGGUAAGGUAACGGCUUACCAAGGCAACGAUGCAUAGCCGACCUGAGAGGGUGAUCGGCCACACUGGAACUGAGACACGGUCCAGACUCCUACGGGAGGCAGCAGUAGGGAAUCUUCCGCAAUGGGCGAAAGCCUGACGGAGCAACGCCGCGUGAGUGAUGAAGGUCUUCGGAUCGUAAAACUCUGUUAUUAGGGAAGAACAUAUGUGUAAGUAACUGUGCACAUCUUGACGGUACCUAAUCAGAAAGCCACGGCUAACUACGUG